Long non-coding RNA from Arabidopsis lyrata subsp. lyrata, 410 nucleotides. RefSeq lists it as uncharacterized. NCBI's taxonomy places the organism in Eukaryota, Viridiplantae, Streptophyta, Magnoliopsida, Brassicales, Brassicaceae. The record is from RefSeq and is a predicted model, not a curated record. The transcript is spliced from 2 exons.
UUUAUGUCUUCCUGAUUCAGGCGAAAGGCUGAGAGGUUAGUACCAAAAUUGAAGAUCAAAAAUCUCUUCUCCACCGUUAAAGCUCCAAAAUUGAGGAUACAAUGAAUAAUAAUCUUCUCACAAUAAUAUAUUUUGAUUAUGGGGGAUCUUAUAUAAGAAAAGGAGCUGAUACACAAUGGAUUUCAAAAGAAGAUGUUCAUCACACUCUUUUGGUGAAAACAUCUAUUGAGGAAGUCAUAUAUUCUGAAUUGGUGAACCAAAUAUGUAGAAAAAUGAUGGUUGAUAAAGCUACCGUUGUGUUGAAAUUGAGCUUUGUUGCUGAAACAGUUAAACCAAAGAAACCAACAUAUAUUUCCCAUGAUGAUGAUGUAAUGUGUUUUUUGGAAAUGAAUAAAAACCAUUUCCAUGUU